UAGCAUUGGAGCUAGACUUGCUCUCAGCAGUGGAAUGCUGUAGAAGUAAUGUCAUCUAAGUCCAGGCCUCAAGAGACUUUAUACUCUCCUGUACUCGUUCUUGGAGUCCUACUACCGUGCAAGCAAGUUCAGACUGGCCUGCUGGAAGAGAGAGUGCAUUGGCCUCAGUCAUCCCAGCCAAAGCCAUCAUAGUCAUCCCAACCAAGCCAGCUGACCAGCUGACCAUGCCCACCUGAGAGCAGCCAAGCCCACCCCAGCCCAGGGGACCAAGCAGCUGAGGAAUAUAGACAUAAUGGCAGGAGAUACAGCAACCAUACUGGAUCAUGAGGUAAUCUUGAAGAUGAAACCCGUGGAGAAAAACAGAAGCAGCCUGAGACUCUGAUGAUCAUGUAACUACUAUUAAGCCUAUGGCUGCCAAAUUACAGGCUUUUUGUGUGUGAGAGAAAAAUUGUGUCUUUUAAAAUAA
Mustela erminea (ermine) is the source of this 466-nucleotide long non-coding RNA. RefSeq lists it as uncharacterized. NCBI's taxonomy places the organism in Eukaryota, Metazoa, Chordata, Mammalia, Carnivora, Mustelidae. The transcript is spliced from 2 exons. The record is from RefSeq and is a predicted model, not a curated record.